RNAcentral lists this ribosomal RNA (467 nucleotides) under uncultured bacterium. RNAcentral's name for it is "partial 16S ribosomal RNA". It matches the Rfam family "Bacterial small subunit ribosomal RNA", at positions 28 to 507 of the family's 1533-position model. The record is from RNAcentral.
GAUGAACGCUGGCGGCGUGCUUAACACAUGCAAGUCGAACGGAAAGGCCCAAGCUUGCUUGGGUACUCGAGUGGCGAACGGGUGAGUAACACGUGGGUGAUCUGCCCUGCACUUCGGGAUAAGCCUGGGAAACUGGGUCUAAUACCGGAUAGGACCACUUCUUGGAUGUUGUGGUGGAAAGUUUUUUCGGUGUGGGAUGAGCUCGCGGCCUAUCAGCUUGUUGGUGGGGUAAUGGCCUACCAAGGCGUCGACGGGUAGCCGGCCUGAGAGGGUGUACGGCCACAUUGGGACUGAGAUACGGCCCAGACUCCUACGGGAGGCAGCAGUGGGGAAUAUUGCACAAUGGGCGCAAGCCUGAUGCAGCGACGCCGCGGGGGGGAUGACGGCCUUCGGGUUGUAAACUCAUUUCGCUAGGGACGAAGCGUUUUGUGACGGUACCUGGAGAAGAAGCACCGGCUAACUACGUG